CCAUCAUCGAACUGAAGGACCUGGUCGUGCGACCAUCCAAUAUCGCGGUAGCGAUUAGAUACCAAAAAAAAAUAAAUAAAAAUAUUUCUUAGUUACUAAACAUUUUUGACAAACGAACACAAUGCAAAUUAUUCUUUCAGUCACAGCAACACAACUCAAAAAAAAAAAAAAAACCAUAGACCACACACAGCAGAAGCUUCAGCAAAAGAAGUAGAAACAGGAUCAGCAGCCGCAACAAGAAAACAACACAAACAGAUGCAGAAGCAACAACAUCAUCAGCGUCCGCAUCAGUGCACCAGUUCCAUUUGAGGUAUGGAUCGUUCGGCCCUACUUGCACACUGUCGUUAAAGCCAGACAGACCUCAGCUAUGGGAUGGAGCAGUAUCAGCACCAAGUUCCGCUGGUCCUUCCAAAAACGCUACGGAACCCAUGUGCUGCGCUGGCCUCACCACAGCUGUGGCCAGGCCAUCGACACCAUUCUAGCCGAUGAGAUGGGCCUCGGCAAGACCAUUCAGACUGUGACCUUUCUCUGUUCCGCUACAAGGAGGGUCACUGCCGCUUGCCUGGGCAGCAUCGAUUGGGCUGUCCUGAAACUGCUGUCCUGCUGAAGCAUCCACUCCUCGAGAGAGGAGUUCACAAGAACGGGUGUGAUGAUGUUUUCGACCUGGAGCUGCAAUCUGCUAUCUGCUGUUCAUCGUCUGAUCAAUGAGCUGUGCUGCGCCAGCGCUGGUCACGCUCGGUCACACUACGGUGGGAUGAACUUGAAUCAAUAAUACCUGAAUACUUUGUAAUACAUUUUUUGUGUAUGAUGUUUGGAGCUUAACUAAUAAUGUUUGUGGAAAACUUUUUUGGAAUUGCUUGCUUAACGAAUUC
This 872-nucleotide long non-coding RNA is filed under the name Drosophila guanche. Lineage: Eukaryota; Metazoa; Arthropoda; Insecta; Diptera; Drosophilidae. The record is from RNAcentral.